AGGGGGUUUGAUCCUGGGCUCAGGACGAACGCUGGCGGCGCGCCUAAUGCAUGCAAGUCGAGCGACGCAUUUCUAGUUCGUAAGAACCGGAUCUGACGGAGCGGCGAACGGGUGCGUAACACGUGACCAAUCUGCCCUGAAGACUGGGAUAGCCCGAGGAAACUCGGAUUAAUACCGGAUACCCUCUUCGAACCGCAUGGUUCUAUGAGGAAAUGCUCCGGCGCUUCAGGAUGAGGUCGCGGCCCAUCAGCUUGUUGGUGAGGUAAUGGCUCACCAAGGCUACGACGGGUAGCUGGUCUGAGAGGAUGAUCAGCCACACUGGAACUGAGACACGGUCCAGACUCCUACGGGAGGCAGCAGCAGGGAAUCUUGCGCAAUGGGCGAAAGCCUGACGCAGCGACGCCGCGUGGGGGAUGAAGGCCUUCGGGUUGUAAACCCCUUUCAGGAGGGAAGAAAAUGACGGUACCUCCAGAAGAAGCCCCGGCCAACUACGUGCCAGCAGCCGCGGUUAAUACGUAGGGGGCAAGCGUUGUCCGGAUUUAUUGGGCGUAAAGGGCUCGUANGCGGCUUAACAAGUCGGCCGUGAAAACCCAGGGCUCAACCCUGGGGACGCCGGGUCGAUACUGUUAUGGCUAGGGUCCGGUAGAGGA
This 650-nucleotide ribosomal RNA is filed under the name uncultured Actinomycetes bacterium. RNAcentral's name for it is "bacterial SSU rRNA". It matches the Rfam family "Bacterial small subunit ribosomal RNA", at positions 1 to 658 of the family's 1533-position model. The record is from RNAcentral. Lineage: Bacteria; Bacillati; Actinomycetota; Actinomycetes.